UUCUCCGUGGCGCAAUUGGCUAGCGCGUUCGACUGUUAUUUAUCCCAUCUGUGGGAUUUGUUGCAAUCGAGAGGUUGACAGUUCAAGCCUGUCCGGGGAAG
This 101-nucleotide transfer RNA is filed under the name Morchella conica CCBAS932. RNAcentral describes it as "tRNA-Asn". Lineage: Eukaryota; Fungi; Ascomycota; Pezizomycetes; Pezizales; Morchellaceae. The record is from RNAcentral.